CAUGUGUCACUGCUCAUCCCCACGUUCCCUUCUGAUUGUCCAGGGACUUCACACUCAACACCAGCAAAGAGGAAACAGUGACACUGAGACUGUCCUACCAGCUCCUACAAUCGUGAGGCAGGUCGAUGCCAGCUAACCACAUGGGCAUAACAGAAGCCUCAGAGCCUUCGGGAGUCUUCUCUGGUCCCAGUAUGGGCCGCCAAAUGUUUACCUCAAACAAAUAGACUGCCAGAUAUUUCACCUGCAAAAAUGAAUUUGUUCAGGACCAGCAGAGAAUUGAAAUUCUGGAUCUGCAGCCAUGAAAGAAAGAAAAAAAUUGACCCGCACUUGCUGACUUUGUGGAUGGAGGAAGGUGGUCACCAGCCAAGGAAUGAAGGAAUGUGGACGGCUUCCAGAAUCUCA
Molecule: long non-coding RNA, 402 nt
Organism: Orcinus orca (killer whale)
Lineage: Eukaryota; Metazoa; Chordata; Mammalia; Artiodactyla; Delphinidae
Exons: 4
Source: RefSeq, a predicted model, not a curated record